AGGACGAACGCUGGCGGCGUGCUUAACACAUGCAAGUCGAGCGGUGAUCCUCCUUCGGGAGGUGAUCAGCGGCGAACGGGUGAGUAACACGUGGGCAACCUGCCCCUCACACUGGGAUAACCUCGGGAAACCGGGGCUAAUACCGGAUACGACCUCGAGCGGCAUCUCUUGAGGUGGAAAGCUCCGACGGUGAGGGAUGGGCCCGCGGCCUAUCAGCUUGUUGGUGGGGUAAUGGCCUACCGAAGGUGACGACGGGUA
This 258-nucleotide ribosomal RNA is filed under the name uncultured bacterium. Its description in RNAcentral is "partial small subunit ribosomal RNA". It matches the Rfam family "Bacterial small subunit ribosomal RNA", at positions 26 to 285 of the family's 1533-position model. The record is from RNAcentral.